UUUUUGACCGAGUUUUGUUUGACGAUAUUUCUCUUGUGAUGACACAAACGUUCUGGAAAACAUUCCCUAAACCUUGGCUCUUUUCUCACUUUCCAUGCUUGAUGUUCUAACUGUCCUGACACUUCUUGUCCAGAAAGGUCCUCCUUCAACACUCAAUUUCUCAAAGUACUGAUUCUGAGUAUGUUCUAGUACAAAACCUCUUUGCUGCUUCUACUCAGCCACAAUCAUCAUCAUCAUCACUGGAGUGUUCAACUUCUGAGGCAAGAACUGAAUACUGUUUUUCAGCACUAGAAUGGUUAACAGCUGGCACGAUAUUUUUAAGUUAGCUAUGUCAAUUAUUAUGUCAAUAUUUCAACUUUUCCACUGGCUUGGGAGUUUAGUGCUGCUUUUGUUGCUUUUCCAUUCUAAUGUUCUGAACCCUCUUGAGCAACAUCCCUCUGCCUCCACUCUCACAUUUUCCCCUUUGUUCAGCUUUUUAAGAAACCACUUGCACUUGUAUUGUGAGUGUAAUCUAUGGCAGAAAUAUUAGCUGUAGAUUUUAUAGCUGUAUAAAAUCUGGUAUAAAUAUCACAACUCAGUCUUAAUCACCAAAUUUUUCAAUAUACCUCCAGUGUCAAUGAUUACACUAUUUUAAAUAUGAAAAGGUCAGUUGUGGUACAGCAUUUUCUCAUUUGGAGAGAUUUUCUUGGACUACAGAUGCUUUGGAGAAAUUAGUAUCUGAAACCCGGACUGUCCACCUGGAAUGUUUCUUAAUUACAACAAAGAACAGGCUGUUUCUGUCAGCUCAGACUAGGAAGAAUGGAGUUGCUCCCUUCAUCAUUGCUUUGAUAAACAGAUGGCCUGUGGCCACUUCUCCAGUGUGGAGCAUAUCAUGGCUGGGAAUGGAGCUGGUUCAAUGCAGGAACUGCCUUCUUGUCACCUCCAUGGCAGAAACGAGCUACAGGCAACAGGUUGGCCCUGACUCCAGUGCUAGGAAUUGGCACCUUCAGAGCAGGAGAUGUCAGGAAAAAGACUCUUUGUACUGGAGUUGAUGCUUCUCCAUUGCAUUACCACAGUAUAAAGGUGUAAAAUGGUGCUGAUUCUGUCACAUCUUCACUCUUCUUUCAUUCUGAUCCAGUGUUGAGCCUCUCACUACAAGAAACACAUUGAGGUGCUGGAGCAUGUCCAGAGAAGAGCAACAAAGCUGGUGAAGGGUCUAAAGAACAAGUCCUGCAAGGAGUGAUGAAGGAGCUGUGGGUGUGUAACCUGGAGAAAAGGAGGGUUGGGGGACCUUAUCAACCUCUACAACUACCCGACAGUAGCCAGGUGGGGGUCAGCCUCUUCUCCCAGACACCAUCUUAGUGAAGUGACAACAAACAGUGUAAGGACAUUCCUAAAGGUAUCAGAAGUACCCAGCUGAAAAAAAUUCCUGAAUGAGGCACUGGAAUAAUGGAUAAUGUUUACACAAUGGAUGUACUAAGGAUGUUCUUCCUAUAAUGGCAACUUUCAAGCAAAAGGAGUAUGUCAAAAUGUCAAAAAUUUUGGAGACUACAGCUCUAAGGAAUAAGAUUUCAACAACUGUCUUGGUUAUUUAAGGACAUUUUUCAUAAGUUUGCACCGAAACCACGUGUCCACACUUCUUUCUAAGAUGACACCCCCUUCAGAGAAGGCAUGGAGAUUACUCAGAGGCAGGUCCUGACCAGUAUAACUGUGCACAAGCAAGAAAAGGGGAUGGAGGGAGAGUCAUCUGGCUGCUUUUUGGAUGGGGAAGCAUCACUUUGGUAGCCUUAGAAACAAAAACCAUAAGCACAGCUGGCAACCACCUGGCCCCAGGCUAUGCCUUGCCCUUCUCAGAGCACAGCAGGAGAGGAUGUGGGCAGUGUUGAACAGAGAUCCCACAGGAGAACCUGAGCUCUGCAGGAAGUGGUGUCUGACUCAACAGCGAGGCAGCAGAGCUCAGGGCACUGCACUAGUUCAGGGACUAGGGCUUGAAUGUGAUUUAACACAUACAGCCCAGACUAGAGUCAUCAUCAAAGACUUUGUGGCUGCUCUUGGGAAAAGGCCUAUUCCCAGUGACUUGGUGACAGGCAAAGAGCUGCUGUUUGUACUUCCAGAGCUUAGUCACUUUGGAAGUUUAAGCAAGAAGCAAGCAUUCUUCAAUUCCUGUCCUGAUAAACCAAGUGAUGCUGUUCUGAAUGGUUUCUCAGCACUGCCUCGGGGAACACCAUUCCAGUAGAGAUAAAGCUUAUGUGCAUAUCAUUUCUUCAGUGACCCCUU
Corapipo altera (White-ruffed manakin) is the source of this 2256-nucleotide long non-coding RNA. RefSeq lists it as uncharacterized. The transcript has 3 exons. The record is from RefSeq and is a predicted model, not a curated record. NCBI's taxonomy places the organism in Eukaryota, Metazoa, Chordata, Aves, Passeriformes, Pipridae.